This 326-nucleotide ribosomal RNA is filed under the name uncultured Glomus. Its description in RNAcentral is "partial 18S ribosomal RNA". Lineage: Eukaryota; Fungi; Glomeromycota; Glomeromycetes; Glomerales; Glomeraceae. The record is from RNAcentral.
CGUAAGGCGCCGAAUGAGUCAUUAAAAAAUUAACAUCAUCCGAUCCCUAGUCGGCAUAGUUUAUGGUUAAGACUACGACGGUAUCUGAUCGUCUUCGAUCCCCUAACUUUCGUUCUUGAUUAAUGAAAACAUCCUUGGCAAAUGCUUUCGCAGUAGUUAGUCUUCAAUAAAUCCAAAGAAUUUCACCUCUGACAAUUGAAUACUAAUGCCCCCAACUAUCCCUAUUAAUCAUUACGUCGAUCCUAGAAACCAACAAAAUAGAAUCAAACAUCCUAUUUCAUUAUUCCAUGCUAAUGUAUUCAAGCGUGAGCCUGCUUUAAACACUU